RNAcentral lists this ribosomal RNA (382 nucleotides) under uncultured fungus. RNAcentral's name for it is "partial small subunit ribosomal RNA". It matches the Rfam family "Eukaryotic small subunit ribosomal RNA", at positions 30 to 432 of the family's 1831-position model. The record is from RNAcentral. Lineage: Eukaryota; Fungi.
GCUUGUCUCAAAGAUUAAGCCAUGCAUGUUCAAGUAUAGCAAGUGUACAGUGAAACUGCGAAUGGCUCAUUAAAUCAGUUAUAAUUUAUUUGAUAGUGAAAUUGUACAUGGAUAACCGUGGCAAUUCUAGGGCUAAUACAUGCGUCAAUGGUCGGUCGACCAGUAUUUAUUAGAUACAAAGCCAGCCGUCAGGAUCAGGUGAAUCAUGAUAACCAAACGAAUCGCAAGCGCAAGCGGCGAUGGUUCAUUCAAAUUUCUGCCCUAUCAACUUUCGAUGGUAGUCGCCGUGCCUACCAUGGUGACCACGGGUGACGGGGAAUCAGGGUUCGAUUCCGGAGAGGGAGCCUGAGAAACGGCUACCACAUCCAAGGAAGGCAGCAGG